ACCUACCUUUUGCUUGCCUGGCUUCCCUCUUGCCAUUGAGUUAAUCUGUCCCAUUGCUGCUGCUGAUUCCUAUGCUAAUGUUAGGACCAAUGUGCCCAGGUUUUCUUUGGGACUAGGGACCAGCACUUCUCCAGGAACCUUCAGAGCUUCUAGUGCCAGACUGAGACUAAGUGCUGAGUGUUCCAGCCUCAAGGACAGAGUACUUACCAGGUUCUCAGCUUCCAGGUUCAAGAACCAGAUCUGAAAUGGACACCUAGUAGCUUAUCACAGCAAGGAGCUACCUGGAGCAGGUGAGGCAGCAAUGCCAGAAGCCCAAGAUAGACGGGGGAAGCCGAGCAUGGGAUUUGAGGCAAUUCUGAGGCACAAGGGUGGUAAACAUCGCCCAAGAGGCAGAUACCAAAGUCUGACUUCAAGAGCUGGCCCCGGGGAGUCCUGAUGUCAUAGGGUGGCUGCUCCUUGCGAUGCCUACCCUGUACACAUCCUGACUGCCAAAGGUUUGGUUUUAUAUAAACCUUCAGGUGUAUCUUGAUCUUGGCAGAAAAGGUAUAUCUACAGUAUGACCUUUUUGCAGCCCAAGCUUGUCCCCUCCACAUUAGAACAGGCAUUCCUUCACAGCGUGAUGGCAGCUGUGAACACUGCAUUGCUUUCUGUAUCAGGUGACCUUAGAGAAGAAACGCAGACCAGUCCAGGCGAGGUUUAGUCUUGGGAGCCAUUGUUACUAACAGAACAAGCCCAGUAAACACGAACCCAUGCUUCAGGGUAUACAUGUGUGUGGUAUCUGCACACUGCUGAGUGAGUGUUCAGGACAAAAAAAUGGUUUAGGACGUAAGAGGCAGAUUGUGGUGUGGUGUGGCUUACAGGGGUCAGCCCAGGGUGCUAGGACAGAUUUCUUGGGCCAUGUGUGGAAUUCAAAAGGAGUCAUUUAGAAACAGUGUCUUUUGUAAGUACCAGCUUCUGGAAGCAGGGAGGUGGCCCACCUAUCCCCUCCUGGAAACUGUUUUAGACUGCGGUGCUGGAAUCCUUCAGAGGAAAGAGCCAUAAUCCUGAUAUAGAAUUAUAUGUAUUUUGGUGAGGGAAAUUUGAUAUACAAAAAUAUUUAUGCCUAUGCUUAAAAGAGGCAGGGUUAAGAUAAUGAGUAAGAAAACUUUUCAAGGUACUGUUUGAAAGAAACCACUUGGGAGAUAGCCCAGCACUUCAGCCUUCUGGGCUCUGUUAUCUCCUUAAUUCCCUGCAUUCGUGUUCUAUAGCUUAUCUGUGAAUUUGGUUAACACAUUCCCCAGCCGCUCAAUUGGAUAAGAUAAGGCAGAAGAUGUUAAUAGAGAACCCUCCAUCUUUCCCCACUGAGAGCGAUUUCAGGAUUCAUUGACUUGCUAAACCCUGUCUUCCCCUGUCUCAAAUUUGGCUUAUCAGUGCAGAAGGUAAUCUUCCACCAGGGGUCCAGUGACUGCCCACAAAGGGCGUGCCGUGGACAGCCUGUGGUCUCCAGGGACUUGCAGAGAGAGGGACCACUUGGGUACCGAGGGCUUGUCAGACAUUUGCUGUUCUGUUUGACCCUCACUAUCUGGCUCUAAGGACCCAGGUCAGAGAGUGGGUAUGUUUUCUACUCACCUCGGCCUGUGCUGUAAUGUUGAAGCUUAUCACUGUACGCAGCCUCUUUGCUGUAAGCUCGUUUCCUGCAGACACAGAGAACAGGGACUUUCUCAGCAGGGUCAUAUCAAGGGCUCACGCCCAGACAUAGAGCUCACCCUGGGUGUCUCCUGGGACUGGGAACUGGGAGACACCCCACUUGAAGAUUUCAUCUCUGCCUUGCCUUAUACUCUGCUUGACCAGCACACAUUCCCUUGGGCAGAGGAUUCAACUCUCAAAUCAAGGACUUACGGGUACCAGAAAAGGCUGUGGGCAUCUGGCAAGAGGGCAGUGGUGAUGAGGACCCCCAUCUGGAGCAGUGAACGGCAGAACUGCUUAGUGAGAACCAGCAACAGGGCUUUGCCCGUGAUAUCUGGGCUAACCACCCAAGGCAGCAGCAAACAGUAUUAAAAAUUCACAAGGCCUCAGGCCAGUCGGUGUGCAGAGCUCAGCUUCCCCUGCCUCUUCCUCACCCCCUCUUCUGCCCGCCUGCCUUUUGCCUGCUGCCCAGGGCCUGAGCUCUCUAAGCAGAAGACUGCCCGUGCACAGCUGAGAUGCUCCAGUGGGUCAAAUGCAAUUUUGUAACUGUCACUCUGAAAAGUCCUUGUGCAUGAGGGGCUAAAAGUCCUGGCUGAAAUGAGGAUGGCAGACGGACGCUGCUUACUUAUAGUCUUGCCCAGUUCCCAUAACCAGGUUUUAUCCUAGGCACAGAGAAAAAUCAAUAAUCUUGAGAUUUCUAGGUUGCUGGCUACAGGACUUGUCCAGGCUGCCCAGUUUGGGAAGGGCCAGCGUGGGAUAACGGUGCGUGGAGAGGGGCUUCCUGGACUCAGGGAGAGCAGAGUAGAGGACCUACCUGCUGCAGACAAUAGAGAUGGCCACCAGAGACACAACAAAUACGACUCCAGCUGCUGCCGAGCCAGCAAUCAGGGGUAGCUGCUCUCUCAGCUCCGACUUGUAAUCAUCUAGGUGAGAAAGAAGAGGAUUAGAGUCCUCCCACGUGCCCCGUGCACGAGCUGGACUCGAUGCACAACACCAAGGACACCAGAUAUAUGCAUCCGCGUGGACCCCAGCUUCCAAUGCUUCAGAGUGGGGAACAGUCACAGAAACAAAACAUCAGGCAUAACUCUGGGAGCUCAUGAUGGUGACUAUCGUCUCCCUGGAGAUGGUGACUCUGAACCUUCACCCCCCCCCCCCAGCUCUGAAGGUUUCCCCAAGUCCUGUCUGCCCUGUUAAGAGUAAGUCCGAUGGAGGGGAAAUGAAAGCCGUUGCUGAAAGAGCUUAAGCUGUGGAAAUGCAGCUUGUCAACAGACUCAUUGAGCAGAUUUUUACAGUUUAUCUGUAGUCAGCCAGCUCUGCAGCAGGAGCUGUGGAGGAUGAAGAGAUGCCAGAGAAAUCGCCAAGCAUUUCGAGAUCCCACUUGACAAGUAAAGGACUGAGGUUUGUGCCAAGUGUUAAAACCAUGCUGCAUUACGGGUAGGGUGGAACACCCAAGGGUCACAGAGGUGGACAGAGAUGCCACAAUCUCUGGUGUUGCUGGUGUACCGUUUGUGAUCUUGGAGGAAUUAUUUCACCCUUCUGAUUCUCAGCCCUCUUGCCCGUUAAUAAAAGGCCAAACCAUG
This 3245-nucleotide long non-coding RNA is filed under the name Mus musculus (house mouse). RNAcentral's name for it is "predicted gene, 57054". The record is from RNAcentral. Lineage: Eukaryota; Metazoa; Chordata; Mammalia; Rodentia; Muridae.